AGACCCUAAUAUUUCUUCAGGGUCCUCUGCUGGGACUCAAAUCCAGCAUAAGCGGGAGAUACAGGAGAGAGAGAGAGAGAGAGAUAUGGAAGACGCCAAGCUCGAUCUCAUGAAGGAGAUGAGAAGCCAUGAAGUCGCCAUCGCCGAACUCAAUAGCCUUCGGCCUUCUCGGUCUGUUUAUCAGAGAAAUGGGAACAUCUACUUCAGAACGACUGUCCAGAAGGCGAAAGCGUCGGAGCAAAAGCAAGUCGAUUCAGCCAAAGCGAAACUGGAGAAGCUAAAUGCACCGUGAAAUUGGCACAACCUGGCAGAUGGCAGAUAGCUGACUCUAAAGCUUCUUCUGUUCUUCAAUCUUUAGCAACAAGGUACUCGAGAUGAUCGCUUGACUAUGAACAAAAGUUUGAUGAGAAGCACCUUUGGAGCUGUUGUUUUGCGGUCUUUUGCUCUGGAUCCCAUUUGAAUUUCUCUCAGAUGGGUCAGCUAAUGGUUAAAUAGAGAGCUGCCCAGCUAUUGUAAUAAGCAUAGUGGAUGGUACUACAUGCUUGGAGUUCAGACUGGUAUCAGAAACGAUCAAUGCAUUUUCUAUACUAGUCUUGUUGAUAUUGAGUCACUGUUGCCAUUUUCGUUGA
Molecule: RNA transcript, 629 nt
Organism: Eucalyptus grandis
Lineage: Eukaryota; Viridiplantae; Streptophyta; Magnoliopsida; Myrtales; Myrtaceae
Exons: 4
Source: RefSeq, a predicted model, not a curated record